Molecule: ribosomal RNA, 444 nt
Filed under: uncultured bacterium
Lineage: Bacteria
Description: bacterial SSU rRNA
Rfam family: Bacterial small subunit ribosomal RNA
Source: RNAcentral
GUAGGGAAUAUUGGUCAAUGGGUGAGAGCCUGAACCAGCCAUGCCGCGUGCAGGAAGAAGGCCUUCUGGGUUGUAAACUGCUUUUGCCAGGGGAUAAAAAUACCUUGCGAGGUAAAUUGAAGGUACCUGGUGAAUAAGCCACGGCUAACUACGUGCCAGCAGCCGCGGUAAUACGUAGGUGGCAAGCGUUGUCCGGAUUUAUUGGGUUUAAAGGGUGCGUAGGCGGCCCUGUAAGUCAGUGCUGAAAUAUCCCAGCUUAACUGGGAGGGUGGCAUUGAUACUGCGGGGCUAGAGUACAGAUGAGGUAGGCGGAAUUGACGGUGUAGCGGUGAAAUGCUUAGAUAUCGUCAAGAACACCUAUAGCGAAGGCAGCUUACUAGGCUGUAACUGACGCUGAGGCACGAAAGUGUGGGGAUCAAACAGGAUUAGAUACCCUAGUAGUCC